Molecule: ribosomal RNA, 433 nt
Filed under: uncultured bacterium
Lineage: Bacteria
Description: partial 16S ribosomal RNA
Rfam family: Bacterial small subunit ribosomal RNA
Source: RNAcentral
AACGAACGCUGGCGGCAUGCCUAACACAUGCAAGUCGAACGAGACCUUCGGGUCUAGUGGCGCACGGGUGCGUAACGCGUGGGAACCUGCCCUUAGGUUCGGAAUAACUCCCCGAAAGGGGUGCUAAUACCGGAUAAUGUCUUCGGACCAAAGAUUUAUCGCCUUUGGAUGGGCCCGCGUUGGAUUAGCUAGUUGGUAGGGUAAAAGCCUACCAAGGCGACGAUCCAUAGCUGGUCUGAGAGGAUGAUCAGCCACACUGGGACUGAGACACGGCCCAGACCCCGGGGGGGGGCAGCGGUGGGAAAUAUGGAAAAAGGGGCGAAGGCGUAAUCGAUCAAUGCGGGGUGAGUGAGGAGGGCGUUAGGGUUAUAAAGCUUUUUAACCGGGAAUGAAAAGGACGGAAGCGGAAGAAUAAGCCCGGGCUAACCCGGUG